GCGUAAAGCGUGCGUAGGCGGCUUAUUAAGUCGGAUGUGAAAUCCCCGAGCUUAACUUGGGAAUUGCAUUCGAUACUGGUGAGCUAGAGUAUGGGAGAGGAUGGUAGAAUUCCAGGUGUAGCGGUGAAAUGCGUAGAGAUCUGGAGGAAUACCGAUGGCGAAGGCAGCCAUCUGGCCUAAUACUGACGCUGAGGUGCGAAAGCAUGGGGAGCAAACAGGAUUAGAUACCCUGGUAGUCCAUGCCGUAAACGAUGUCUACUAGCCGUUGGGGCCUUUGAGGCUUUAGUGGCGCAGC
Molecule: ribosomal RNA, 295 nt
Filed under: Acinetobacter baumannii
Lineage: Bacteria; Pseudomonadati; Pseudomonadota; Gammaproteobacteria; Moraxellales; Moraxellaceae
Description: partial 16S ribosomal RNA
Rfam family: Bacterial small subunit ribosomal RNA
Source: RNAcentral